RNAcentral lists this ribosomal RNA (645 nucleotides) under uncultured Streptomyces sp. RNAcentral's name for it is "bacterial SSU rRNA". It matches the Rfam family "Bacterial small subunit ribosomal RNA", at positions 231 to 885 of the family's 1533-position model. Lineage: Bacteria; Bacillati; Actinomycetota; Actinomycetes; Kitasatosporales; Streptomycetaceae. The record is from RNAcentral.
UCGCGGCCUAUCAGCUUGUUGGUGAGGUAACGGCUCACCAAGGCGACGACGGGUAGCCGGCCUGAGAGGGCGACCGGCCACACUGGGACUGAGACACGGCCCAGACUCCUACGGGAGGCAGCAGUGGGGAAUAUUGCACAAUGGGCGCAAGCCUGAUGCAGCGACGCCGCGUGAGGGAUGACGGCCUUCGGGUUGUAAACCUCUUUCAGCAGGGAAGAAGCCCUAGGUGACGGUACCUGCAGAAGAAGCGCCGGCUAACUACGUGCCAGCAGCCGCGGUAAUACGUAGGGCGCGAGCGUUGUCCGGAAUUAUUGGGCGUAAAGAGCUCGUAGGCGGCUUGUCGCGUCGGUUGUGAAAGCCCGGGGCUUAACUCCGGGUCUGCAGUCGAUACGGGCAGGCUAGAGUUCGGUAGGGGAGAUCGGAAUUCCUGGUGUAGCGGUGAAAUGCGCAGAUAUCAGGAGGAACACCGGUGGCGAAGGCGGAUCUCUGGGCCGAUACUGACGCUGAGGAGCGAAAGCGUGGGGAGCGAACAGGAUUAGAUACCCUGGUAGUCCACGCCGUAAACGGUGGGCACUAGGUGUGGGCGGCAUUCCACGUCGUCCGUGCCGUAGCUAACGCAUUAAGUGCCCCGCCUGGGGAGUACGG